Molecule: long non-coding RNA, 632 nt
Filed under: Bos taurus (domestic cattle)
Lineage: Eukaryota; Metazoa; Chordata; Mammalia; Artiodactyla; Bovidae
Description: long non-coding RNA NONBTAT024700
Source: RNAcentral
CUAAUCCAAGUUCCUUCAACUUCAGAGUGCAUACCUCAUUUCAUAGUUAUUCACUCAUGUCUGUCUGACCCACUAGAUAGACUACUAAUUCCUAUAUAUCUCCAGUACUAGUACCUGGCAUCUCGUAGACAGUAGUAGUCAGUACAUGUUUUUUCAGUGUAUGAUUAAUACAAAAUUACUAACCUUCACAUAAGCAGGGAUAGUUAAUUAAAUCACUGUUAAAAAAAACUUUUUAAAAUAGCUCAUCCAGAAAUCCAGAAUACAUACUUAGAAUAAAAAUUGCAAAUGAUAUUCCAGCGUAUAACCAAGAAAUUAGAAAUCUUCCUCCCACCUCAGUUUCAUUCCUCACAGUCAGCUACAGUGAACACUGGUGUCACUGUUCAUUUUUAUCAGCAUAUAAUAAACUAUACAGUAAGUUAUAACUAUCAAACUGGAGUGAAUGAGUCUUCUUUCAAAUCUUAAUGUCAGAAUUACUUUCACCUUCUAUUUCUUGGCAACAUCAAGCACAUAGUUUUGCUUAUCUUAUAAUAAACUGUACUGAACAAUGAUUAGCGAACAAAGUGCAGGCAACUGGUCUUCAUGAUAAUUAGCAAGGCCAGUCUGCAAUUCAGGUGUUGUCUCCCAUGAAGCUA